GGUAGCGUGUCUCAGAUCGUCCACUACGCAGCGGCAUGUAUGCUGGGAGUAACAUCGUCGACGCAGCACCGGCAACUUGGAGAGCGUCGUGCCAUUGAAAAGUGGUGAGGCCGUGACCCACAGCAGUGUCCACAUGAUGGCAGGGAACCUGUGGCCCUGGCUACAGCAGCACAGCGUGUAAUCUGGAUGUCACGUCAGGUGAACGAUCUUAUCUGGCCUGAAGUCCUAUGGCGGCAAUGCACGACCGCAUUGGGGAGGCUGAGGUUCAGGGCAAGAGCCUUUAUGGAAAGGGCAGUAACAGGCACAAA
This is a long non-coding RNA of Dermacentor silvarum, 308 nucleotides long. RefSeq lists it as uncharacterized. The record is from RefSeq and is a predicted model, not a curated record. The transcript is spliced from 3 exons. Lineage: Eukaryota; Metazoa; Arthropoda; Arachnida; Ixodida; Ixodidae.